GCUGCAAUACCUGUUAUUGCAGGUAGAAAAUCGAGGGUGGAGACGUUUGCCGGUGCUUCAACAACCUAUACAAUUGAAGCAAUGAUGGGAGACAGGAAGGCUUUACAGGCAGGCACAAGCCACAACCUUGGUCAGAACUUCUCCCGUGCAUUUGGAACACAGUUCACAGAUGAAAAUGGGCAACGGCAACAUGUCUGGCAGACAUCAUGGGCAAUAAGCACUCGUUUUGUGGGAGGUAUCAUCAUGACACAUGGGGAUGAUGCUGGCUUACUGCUACCCCCAAGGCUGGCACCUGUGCAGGUCAUUAUUGUCCCAAUAUGGAAGAAGGACAAUGAGAAGGCAGGAGUUCUGACUGCUUCAUCCUCUGUGAAAGAAUCUUUACAAGCUGCAGGGAUAAAAGUGAAGAUUGAUGACUCUGAUCAGAGAACACCUGGCUGGAAAUUCAACUACUAUGAAAUGAAGGGAGUCCCUUUGAGGAUUGAAAUUGGCCCGCGAGAUGUUUCAAGUGGAACCCUGGUCAUUUCUAGAAGAGAUGUUCCUGGAAAGCAAGGG
RNAcentral lists this unclassified non-coding RNA (552 nucleotides) under Hevea brasiliensis (rubber tree). Lineage: Eukaryota; Viridiplantae; Streptophyta; Magnoliopsida; Malpighiales; Euphorbiaceae. The record is from RNAcentral.